Molecule: transfer RNA, 78 nt
Filed under: Heterodermia speciosa
Lineage: Eukaryota; Fungi; Ascomycota; Lecanoromycetes; Caliciales; Physciaceae
Description: tRNA-Thr
Source: RNAcentral
GGUUAGAGUGGUACUGCGUCUCACUCGUAUGUUCACAUCGAUAUGAGAAGAUCCUCGGUUCGAUUCCGAGCGUGAGCA